This 3592-nucleotide long non-coding RNA is filed under the name Triticum aestivum (bread wheat). RNAcentral's name for it is "long non-coding RNA (TAES_LNC020841)". Lineage: Eukaryota; Viridiplantae; Streptophyta; Magnoliopsida; Poales; Poaceae. The record is from RNAcentral.
AAUUAGAUAACGAUAUUUUUGACGGCGCUAUGUUACACCGGUGUUGGAAGGCAUAGUUAGUUGAAUAAUUAUAAUUAACCACAACACUAAUAUCAAAAAAUUAUUGCAACCAAAAAAGUUAGUAUUUAGCCAUGUACAACGGUUCUUCUCCAACUCCCUUAUAGUUUGCAGAUUUACAACUGGGGCCUUGUCUCAUUCCUUACACACAAAGUAAUGCCAACUAAUGUCCAAUCAAGCACUACACACUUGUCCAUUGUACCGCUCACAUGAUUACAAGUGGAGCCUUGCAUGCGCAUGCAACCAUGCAUGCCAGCCACCUGCUUCAUUUUACCAAACCGACAUAGCAUCCUCCACUACUAUAAAUAGCAGCCUGCACCUUUCACCUUUCACUUCCUCUACUGCACACAACACGCACAAGAGAGAGAACCGAGCUCUUCCCACCAUCCCCAUCCACUCUUUUGGUCGAAUGCUGAGUUGCGAUCAGGUACUAUUCAAGUACCUUGCUUUUGCAGCUCUGUUUGCUUGAUGCUUGGCACCUUGAUCCAUCUUUACCUUUGCUUAGAACAUGAACACCUGAUCUUCUGGACUCUAGUUACCUUGCUGUAAAAAGAGAAACAAUAGUUAGUGAAAGAAAGAAAAAACAUAAAGUAGAUGGAGGAAAACAAAGACAUUGCAGUUCUGUGAUUCAUGUGUAGCUGUAAAAGAAAAACUAUGUGUGUGUUCAUCUCUACCUUGUAUUAGAUCUGACAUGCUAAGAACUAAAUCUUAGAAAUUAACCCAUUAUUAAGAUUGCAUGUGUAGCGUUGGGGCCAAACAAUCUGUGUAUGCUACUUGACCACUGUCAUUUUCAGUUAACAUUGGUUGGUUAAUAUUCUGUUAAGAAAUAAAUCUCAAGAUGGUAUGUCUCACUUGCACAUACCCUGUACCGGAAAAUAACCCAUUUAACUUUUGCACAAAUGAAAUCUUGCUAGAAUAUCUCACUCACUUUUUCCGGUUUCCCUUAGUAUAAUUUGAGUCUAUCAAUGUUGCUGUUCACUUGGUUGUUUGUGGGGUUCAGAGAGGAGUGUGCGCGCACACACAGUAGGAAUACUUAGAUUUAAUUUGUGGCAGCACCUAACCAUCACAAGCAAUUAACUUGCCACUCAUAGAUUUGUAGUAAGCCUUUAACAGUGGGGAUUCACUGGUUAAUUCCUAGUCUUGAGCUUAAUAAAAAGAAUCAUAGUAGUGUGAGGAUAGUAUAGUAGAGCUAAAAAUUAAAAUAAACAUUAUGGAACAAAUCUGUAGACCACGUCCACACCAUAGAAUAGAUGUUGAUUAAUAUGAAAUUUAGAUUAACAAUGAGAAACAUGGUAGUAUGGCUGUAUGGGGAUAAUGCAGUAGCGCCAAAGAUAAAUUCAACAAUAUGGAUAAACUUGGACACCAUUCUCACGAGCUAGCAAGGAUUUGUGGAUAGAUGAAGAGCACUUGCAGAGAGAGAGAGAGAGAGAGAGAGAGAGAGAGAGAGAGAGAGAGAGAGAGAGAGCUUACAGUGGUAGCAGUAGAUGAAGGAGUCAAACACCGAUAGCGGCAUGUUGCCGAAGCUGCGCCAGUGAAGCCGCUCGCGCCCGACGGCCGUGGUUGCACGCCUCGUGCGUGUGGCUGCACUGGUGGAGGGCAUAGGCAGGUAGAUGUCGUUGCCGCCGCGGGCGGUGGCGAACCCACCGGACCCGAGGCAGGCGGCGCUGGGGUUAGAUGGUGGCGACGAUUUAGGCGGCGGUGGAUCAAAUAAAUGGGGGGAUAUGGUAGAGGGAGUCGAGGGGAUUCUGUGGGUGUCCGCGGUGUCACCGGAGAUGGCCGGAAGUGGCAGAUCGAGCCGGCGGCGGCCUGCUCUGUAGUUAGGGAGAGAGAGAUGGAGUUGGUUCUGUUCGUGGCUGAGCAUACCGAGAGUGAGAGAGAGGAAGAGAGCUGGGGAAGAUGACUAGUUGAAUUAAAAAAAAAAGAUAUUUCUGCCGGUGUUGGGUUCGACCAGCUAAACACGUUUUUUUCCUUUUAGCUUGCUUGCUCGCUUUGGUGAUGUGCACGUGCGUACUACUUCUUGAUGUGCUGUAUGCAUUUUGCUUCUAAUUACACACUAGCACGUAUCAUUACCUCUUUAAUUAAAAUGGAUUGCACCGUAUGGAAGUGUUGCUUGAUGCUUGGAUCUUGAUUAGGGAAAAUAUAAACUUCUUUCUGAAAUAAUUAUCAGGAGUCAAUCUCGGACCCAUAGGACCCACAUCUGGUGGUUCCGAGUUGGUCGGAGCGCUACCCGGCAAGUCGUCAUCUCCUUGACCAUGUCUUGAUAAAUGUUUUCCGGGCUAUGAGUCAUUUCCAAAAUUUUGCAUAAGAAUUUAAAAUAAAUAUUUUUCAUAAAUAAAAUGAAAUUGGAUCAGGUGGAUCCACUGAUUUGGCAAUUGGACCAGAUCAGGUGAAGCAUCUGUAUUAAGUAGUUGUGACCCGGGUAGGGUUACAAUAUAAAAUAAAUAUUUGGUGGGUAGGGGAGCUCAUGUUGGUGAAAGCAACCCUGGGAGGGCCAGCUUGGAUGGCGGGCUCCUCUACAUAGGGUAUCACAUUAGGACACAACUAACUGGCGCUUUCUUCAAAAGCGGCGCAAACCGUACUGACCAUAGACCUGGAAUGGGACGGGCUGAACCAACUACCCAUGCCAAGUAGCUGCCUCUGCAUGGGUGAGAAGGUGGCUGUAGCCGGGUAGGUACAGUCACCCUAGGGCGGGACCGCCGGUCAGGGGUCUCGACCCGCGGGCCUUUAGUAAGGCAAGGUGGAAAAGCAGAGGUAGUGUACGGGCUGGUUAAAGAUUCUGGUUCCUUGGUCUAGUCGUGUGCACGGGUAGCGCAUGGACGACUUGGACCAAGUGAUGCUAUGGCAAAGCAAUACACCUCUGAUCAGAGUAAAUGUGAUAUCACUCCCAGCUUCCGGGUUUGGAAGUGCGUCGUGUGGGUUUUUCUCUAACACAGGAUGUAAGAUCCCACGUCGCUCUGUCGCCAGUAGAUUUUAUAAAUAAAAUUUGGUUUCCAACAAAAAGGGUUAAGGGAAAAUAUUUUUUACCUACAAAGUAUUUUUGAGCUAAUGGCUCGUUUGGUUGUAGCCGUGGCCGAUAAAGUUUUCCUCUUUAAAGACUCAUGCAUCCACUUUUCCCGGCGACUUGCGGAGUACGUAUUUUAUACGUACUCAGCUGCACUUAUGUUGUUUUUCAGAACAAGAGAGUUAUGAGAACUCUGAGGCGAUAGAGAAUGGUACUUAUGAUGAGUCUGGUCAUCUUAAUGACUUCGGUUAUUCUGAAGUGGAGUAUGUUUAUGAGGAAGUCGACAAUCAAGGCUAUGAAGAGUAGAUGCCCUCCAUGGUUGGUCUAGAAGGUUCGUAACUAGAAGUAGAUGACGAUCUAUCGUCAUGGUCGCUUAGGCUUAGUCGACACUUGAGGUGUCAAUGUAAUAAAAGCUUGCCUACUCAUGGCAGCUGCACCGUCUUGUACAUGAUACUGUUCUCCUUAACUGAUCCUGGCGCAACUCUGAAGUGACGGCUUCCGUUAUGCCUGACUCUAUCGGACGUAACGGGGCGU